Molecule: ribosomal RNA, 254 nt
Filed under: uncultured bacterium
Lineage: Bacteria
Description: partial 16S ribosomal RNA
Rfam family: Bacterial small subunit ribosomal RNA
Source: RNAcentral
UACGGGGGGAGCAAGCGUUGUUCGGAUUUACUGGGCGUAAAGGGCGCGUAGGCGGUCAGCACAAGUCAGUUGUGAAAUCUCCGGGCUUAACUCGGAAAGGUCAACUGAUACUGUGCGACUAGAGUGCGGAGGGGGCAACUGGAAUUCUCGGUGUAGCGGUGAAAUGCGUAGAUAUCGAGAGGAACACCUGCGGCGAAGGCGGGUUGCUGGGCCGACACUGACGCUGAUGCGCGAAAGCUAGGGGAGCGAACGGG